This 244-nucleotide ribosomal RNA is filed under the name Ceratocystiopsis longispora. RNAcentral describes it as "Ophiostoma longisporum ribosomal RNA large subunit". It matches the Rfam family "Eukaryotic large subunit ribosomal RNA", at positions 101 to 347 of the family's 3401-position model. The record is from RNAcentral. Lineage: Eukaryota; Fungi; Ascomycota; Sordariomycetes; Ophiostomatales; Ophiostomataceae.
GCAACAGCUCAAAUUUGAAAUCUGGCCCCCUGCGUCCGAGUUGUAAUUUGGAGAGGAUGCUUUUGGCGCGGUGCCUUCCGAGUUCCUUGGAACAGGACGCCACAGAGGGUGAGAGCCCCGUACGGUUGGCCGCCAAACCUGUGUAAAGCUCCUUCGACGAGUCGAGUAGUUUGGGAAUGCUGCUCAAAAUGGGAGGUAAAUUUCUUCUAAAGCUAAAUAUUGGCCAGAGACCGAUAGCGCACAA